AUGCCUCCUAUCUAUGAUGAUUAUUGUGAUGACACGUAUGCUAUAAAGAAUAAUGAUAACCAUGAAACUUGUCAUCUUGAUCUUAAUUUUCAAUCACAUGAUAGUUGUUUUGUUGAGUUUUCUCCCACUACUAUUACGAAUGAGAAGAAUUUUGCUUAUGUGGGGAGUAAUAAAAUUUCUAUGCUUGUAGAUCAUGAAAAGAAUGCUUUAGGUGCUGGUUAUAUUGUUGAAUUCAUUCAUGAUGCUACUGAAAGUUAUUAUGAGGGAGGAAUGUAUGCUUGUAGGAAUUGCAAUAAUAUCAAGUUUCCUCUCUAUGUGCUUAAAAUCUUGAAGUUAUGCUUGUUUUACCUUUCUAUGCAAGUUGAUUCUUGUUCCCAUAAGUUGUUUGCUCACAAAAUCCCUAUGCAUAAGAAGUGGGUUAGACUUAAAUGUGCUAGUAAUAUUCUUCAUGAUGCUCUCUAUAUGUUUCAAUUCUUAUCUCUUAUGUGA
This 489-nucleotide ribosomal RNA is filed under the name Triticum aestivum (bread wheat). RNAcentral describes it as "partial small subunit ribosomal RNA". Lineage: Eukaryota; Viridiplantae; Streptophyta; Magnoliopsida; Poales; Poaceae. The record is from RNAcentral.